UAUUGCUGAAAUAGUUCCUGGGUCUA
Molecule: non-coding RNA, 26 nt
Filed under: Mus musculus (house mouse)
Lineage: Eukaryota; Metazoa; Chordata; Mammalia; Rodentia; Muridae
Source: RNAcentral